This is a non-coding RNA of Vicia faba (fava bean), 219 nucleotides long. The record is from the annotation of a GenBank genome assembly. NCBI's taxonomy places the organism in Eukaryota, Viridiplantae, Streptophyta, Magnoliopsida, Fabales, Fabaceae.
AUGAAGCUACAAGGCUUGCGUACUCAAACUCCUUCCAAAAAGAAUCAUGGUUUUAUUUACAAAGCUAAGGCAUUACUGUGUGAAAAUGGAGUGAAUGUAAAGCGCGAUACAAGCAAUGAAAUUAUUAUAUUAAUACUGCGGUUAGGGAACAUAUGGUCACGAUUCCUGCAAAAAUACAAUUGGACUUAUCUCACCAAUCAAAGUUUUUGGAUGUUAUAA